UCGCAUUCUGAAGACUUGAAGUCUAGGCUACACACUGAGAACGCUGAUUCUCCCUAUACCCCAGCCUAGGGGAAAGUCCCCGGACCUCGGGCAGAGAGUGCCGCCCGCCUCCUCGGCGCGCUAUAAUCCCGCCCUAUACUCACACACACUCCGCCAAGAAGCUCCUGGAGCCGAGCGGGUUGAGCAGGGACUGGGACCUCUCGUCAGUUACCAUAGCAACUCAAGUAGCGUGGGGGGUGAUCUCACGUGACCAGAACGGGGCUCAUUCUCAGAAUGCU
Pelobates cultripes (western spadefoot toad) is the source of this 278-nucleotide non-coding RNA. Lineage: Eukaryota; Metazoa; Chordata; Amphibia; Anura; Pelobatidae. The record is from the annotation of a GenBank genome assembly.